This 84-nucleotide transfer RNA is filed under the name Parahaemophilus parainfluenzae. RNAcentral's name for it is "Haemophilus parainfluenzae tRNA-Sec". It matches the Rfam family "Selenocysteine transfer RNA". The record is from RNAcentral. Lineage: Bacteria; Pseudomonadati; Pseudomonadota; Gammaproteobacteria; Pasteurellales; Pasteurellaceae.
GGUCGUCAUCUCCGGUGAGGUGGCAGGACUUCAAAUCCUGUUGGGGACGCCAGCGUUCCCGGGUGGGUUCAACUCCCAUGACCA